AGUGAUUGGAGUUUUCGUAUCAUUCCAGACUUUGAGUCCAAAAAUAUUUCCAUCAUCCUUUCCAUCAAACUCUUGAACCAAAUCUCCACUAACUCGUUUUGCAGCUCUCGCCUUUGCUUUUGCUCGGCAACCACAGCAACCACAUGCACC
This is a non-coding RNA of Caenorhabditis elegans, 150 nucleotides long. The record is from Ensembl. Lineage: Eukaryota; Metazoa; Nematoda; Chromadorea; Rhabditida; Rhabditidae.